Molecule: ribosomal RNA, 497 nt
Filed under: uncultured bacterium
Lineage: Bacteria
Description: partial 16S ribosomal RNA
Rfam family: Bacterial small subunit ribosomal RNA
Source: RNAcentral
GAUGAACGCUGGCGGCGUGCCUAAUACAUGCAAGUCGAGCGAACAGACGAGGAGCUUGCUCCUCUGACGUUAGCGGCGGACGGGUGAGUAACACGUGGAUAACCUACCUAUAAGACUGGGAUAACUUCGGGAAACCGGAGCUAAUACCGGAUAAUAUAUUGAACCGCAUGGUUCAAUAGUGAAAGACGGUUUUGCUGUCACUUAUAGAUGGAUCCGCGCCGCAUUAGCUAGUUGGUAAGGUAACGGCUUACCAAGGCAACGAUGCGUAGCCGACCUGAGAGGGUGAUCGGCCCCACUGGAACUGAGACACGGGCCAGACUCCUACGGGAGGCGGCAGUAGGGAAUCUUCCGCAAUGGGCGAAAGCCUGACGGAGCAACGCCGCGUGAGUGAUGAAGGUCUUCGGAUCGUAAAACUCUGUUAUUAGGGAAGAACAAAUGUGUAAGUAACUAUGCACGUCUUGACGGUACCUAAUCAGAAAGCCACGGCUAACUACGUG